This is a non-coding RNA of Chelonoidis abingdonii (Abingdon island giant tortoise), 435 nucleotides long. The record is from the annotation of a RefSeq genome assembly. Lineage: Eukaryota; Metazoa; Chordata; Testudines; Testudinidae.
AUGGAGAAUGCAAUUCUAUCAAGUAGGCUGUUGCGCAGCUUCCCAGCUUUGUCCGAUGACUCCUCCGGGCAAAUUGUGAUGACUCAGUCCCCGGAAUCUCUGCAAGUGCCAGUGGGAGGGAGAGUCUCUAUCAACUGCAAAGCCAGUACAAGCGUUGGCAGUAGCGUACACUGGUACCAACAGAAACCUGGGCAAGCUCCCAAACUUCUUAUCUAUGGCGCUAGCAACCUCCAGUCUGGGGUCCCAGCCCGGUUCAGCGGCAGUGGAUCUGGCACUGAUUUCACAUUCACAAUCAGCAACGUUGAAGCUGAAGAUGCUGGAGAUUAUUACUGCCAGCAGAGUUACAGCUACUCUUUCACAGUGAUACAGACCAAUACAAAAACCUCCCUGCACUAUAAAUUGCAGUUACUGCUUCCUGCAGAUACAACUGUGUAG